RNAcentral lists this ribosomal RNA (506 nucleotides) under uncultured bacterium. Its description in RNAcentral is "partial 16S ribosomal RNA". It matches the Rfam family "Bacterial small subunit ribosomal RNA", at positions 29 to 523 of the family's 1533-position model. The record is from RNAcentral.
AGUGAACGCUGGCGGUAGGCCUAACACAUGCAAGUCGAACGGCAGCACAGAGGGGCUUGCUCCUUGGGUGGCGAGUGGCGGACGGGUGAGGAAUACAUGGGAAUCUACUCUGUCGUGGGGGAUAACGUAGGGAAACUUACGCUAAUACCGCAUCCGACCUACGGGUGAAAGCAGGGGAUGUUCGGACCUUGCGCGAUUGAAUGAGCCGAUGUAGGAUUAGCUAGUUGGCGGGGUAAAGGCCCACCAAGGCGACGACCCGUAGCUGGUCUGAGAGGAUGAUCAGCCACACUGGAACUGAGACACGGUCCAGACUCCUACGGGAGGCAGCAGUGGGGAAUAUUGGACAAUGGGCGCAAGCCUGAUCCAGCCAUACCGCGUGGGUGAAGAAGGCCUUCGGGUUGUAAAGCCCUUUUGUUGGGAAAGAAAUCCAUCUGGUUAAUACCCGGGUGGGAUGACGGUACCCAAAGAAUAAGCACCGGCUAACUUCGUGCCAGCCGCCGCCGUAA